AUACCAUAAGGGGACAUUUUUUCAAUAGCUCCUUGAUCCUUUCCCAAGAAUCAUACAAUGAUUCACCAUCCAGCUGAUAAAAAUUAUUAAUCUCCCUUCUCAAUUU
Humulus lupulus (European hop) is the source of this 106-nucleotide small nucleolar RNA. The record is from RefSeq and is a predicted model, not a curated record. Lineage: Eukaryota; Viridiplantae; Streptophyta; Magnoliopsida; Rosales; Cannabaceae.